GACGAACGCUGGCGGCGUGCUUAACACAUGCAAGUCGAACGGAAAGGCCUCUUUCGGGGGGUACUCGAGUGGCGAACGGGUGAGUAACACGCGAGUAACCUGCCCUUGACUUUGGGAUAACUUCAGGAAACUGGGGCUAAUACCGGAUAGGAGCUCCUGCUGCAUGGUGGGGGUUGGAAAGGUUCGGCGGUUGGGGAUGGACUCGCGGCUUAUCAGCUUGUUGGUGGGGUAGUGGCUUACCAAGGCUUUGACGGGUAGCCGGCCUGAGAGGGUGACCGGCCACAUUGGGUCUGAGAUACGGCCCAGACUCCUACUGGAGGCAGCAGUGGGGAAUAUUGCACAAUGGGUGGCGGCCUGAUGCAGCACCGCCUUGUGCGGGAUGACGGCCUUCGGGUUGUAAACCGCUUUCGCUCAUGACGAAGCUUUGUGUGACGGUAGUGGGUAAAGAAGCACCGGCUAACUACGUG
This 467-nucleotide ribosomal RNA is filed under the name uncultured bacterium. Its description in RNAcentral is "partial 16S ribosomal RNA". It matches the Rfam family "Bacterial small subunit ribosomal RNA", at positions 28 to 507 of the family's 1533-position model. The record is from RNAcentral.